Bombyx mori (domestic silkworm) is the source of this 662-nucleotide long non-coding RNA. RefSeq lists it as uncharacterized. The transcript is spliced from 3 exons. Lineage: Eukaryota; Metazoa; Arthropoda; Insecta; Lepidoptera; Bombycidae. The record is from RefSeq and is a predicted model, not a curated record.
GUCAACAUCACCGUUGUCAUAUAUGAAUGACGUUCCGUUAUUACACAAAAAAUAUGUCACUUCCAUUUAAGUAAUAAUCAAAACUAGAGGUCCCGCAGUAGGCGAAAUUCGACCAUAAUUAAUUGGAAUUGACACGCCUCGGGCCGGAUGCGAGUGCAGCCUUUGUUAUUUUCCAUACAGUUGCACGAAUUUAGCGAAAAUCGACCCUUUGUGGGGACCCGUUUGUUUUGAUGAGACUUCUGUUCGUGGGGUCUCCGAAUUCAACAGAUGAGGAAGGUGAAGUGGAAAUGGUUCAUUUUAUGUAAAGUGUAUACCGGAGACUAUACACAAGACAAUGUAAAUGCGACCAUCGGACUUGACGCGUGAGAUUCAAGUUUCCAUGGCAUUUAAUGAUAGUCCCAGCAUUCAAAAAAAGGUAUGUUGCUUCACUGCGAGAUAUACAGGGAUAGGAUAAGAUACACGUGAAGUGUACUGGUAUAGUAAGAACGCUUCGGACCAUUCCCAUUUUACCAACACCCAAGGGAUGAGAUUGGGUGGUGCUAUAUUAGGUCACCCCGUUCCUCCUGGCAAAGAAGACACCUUUGUUAAGAAAAUCGCGUUAUACCAUACUAUUUCAUUAAAAUUUUGUUUAUCAAAAAAAUAAAACCUACUAGACAGAACAA